GGAGUAGCCAAGCGGUAAGGCAACGGACUUUGACUCCGUCAUGCGAAGGUUCGAUCCCUUCCUC
This 64-nucleotide transfer RNA is filed under the name Risungbinella massiliensis. It matches the Rfam family "tRNA", at positions 5 to 66 of the family's 71-position model. Rfam says of the family: Transfer RNA (tRNA) molecules are approximately 80 nucleotides in length. Their secondary structure includes four short double-helical elements and three loops (D, anti-codon, and T loops). Further hydrogen bonds mediate the characteristic L-shaped molecular structure. tRNAs have two regions of fundamental functional importance: the anti-codon, which is responsible for specific mRNA codon recognition, and the 3' end, to which the tRNAs corresponding amino acid is attached (by aminoacyl-tRNA synthetases). tRNAs cope with the degeneracy of the genetic code in two manners: having more than one tRNA (with a specific anti-codon) for a particular amino acid; and 'wobble' base-pairing, i.e. permitting non-standard base-pairing at the 3rd anti-codon position. Lineage: Bacteria; Bacillati; Bacillota; Bacilli; Caryophanales; Thermoactinomycetaceae. The record is from RNAcentral.